CGAGCGGCCCUUCGGGGCAGCGGCGAACGGGUGAGUAACGCGUCGGAACGUACCCUAAAGUGGAGAAUAGCUCGCCGAAAGGCGGGGUAAUUCUGCAUAAUACCGCAAGGUUAAAGCAGCAAUGCGCUUUAGGAGCGGCCGGCGUCCUAUCAGCUUGUUGGUGAGGUAAUGGCUCACCAAGGCUAUGACGGGUAACUGGUCUGAGAGGACGACCAGUCACAAUGGGACUGAGACACGGCCCAUACUCCUACGGGAGGCAGCAGUUGGGAAUUUUGCGCAAUGGACGAAAGUCUGACGCAGCGACAUCGCGUGGUGGAUGAAGGCCUUCGGGUCGUAAACACCUUUUGUCGAGGAAGAUUAUGACGGUACUCGACGAAUAAGGACCGGCUAACUACGUGCCAGCAGCCGCGGUAAUACGUAGGGUCCAAGCGUUAUCCGGAAUUAUUGGGCGUAAAGAGUACGUAGGUGGUUUGGUAAGUUAUCCGUUAAAUCGUUGGGCUCAACCCAACAACCGCGGGUAAUACUACCAUUCUCGAGGAUGGCAGGGGCAAGCGGAAUUCUGCAAGUAGCAGUGAAAUGCGUUGAUAUGCAGAGGAACACCAAUGGCGAAGGCAGCUUGCUAGGCUAUAUCUGAUACUGAGGUACGAAAGCGUGGGGAGCGAACGGGAUUAGAUACCCCGGUAGUCCACGCCGUAAACGAUGCACACUAGGCAUCAGAAGCAUCGACCCUUCUUGUGCCGAAGCUAACGCGUUAAGUGUGCCGCCUGGGGAGUACGGUCGCAAGACUAAAACUCAAAGGAAUUGACGGAAUCGA
Molecule: ribosomal RNA, 814 nt
Filed under: uncultured bacterium
Lineage: Bacteria
Description: bacterial SSU rRNA
Rfam family: Bacterial small subunit ribosomal RNA
Source: RNAcentral